CUGCUGACUUCAGCAACACAUAUUCCCAAACUGGAACAAUAUGGAGAUUACCAUGUCCUUGCACAAGAAUCUAUGCAGAUUUGUGAAGUGUUUCAUAAUUUU
This 102-nucleotide small nuclear RNA is filed under the name Cavia porcellus (domestic guinea pig). Lineage: Eukaryota; Metazoa; Chordata; Mammalia; Rodentia; Caviidae. The record is from RNAcentral.